Long non-coding RNA from Nicrophorus vespilloides, 436 nucleotides. RefSeq lists it as uncharacterized. The record is from RefSeq and is a predicted model, not a curated record. The transcript has 3 exons. NCBI's taxonomy places the organism in Eukaryota, Metazoa, Arthropoda, Insecta, Coleoptera, Silphidae.
UCGCAAUUGAUAUAGAGAUGAUCGAAUGGAGAAGUUUAAACAUAUCUAAAGAAGUUUUGAAAAGAGAAACUGAAGAAAUUUUGAGGAUGCGGAUAGAAAAUCCACGGUAGAUGGCGUUCUUUCCGGGACGCCCUUCCCGGAAUAUUAGAAUUGAGCCGACCGGAGCAGAAAUACAACGCGGCCCCUGUUUACCAAGUCAAUGAGCUGCUUUAAUACACCGCACAACCAUCAUCAGGAAUAUUAUUCGGCGGAAUACACCAACGACAUCGGAGAUCUCCUCCUUUCGCAGGAUCAAGAUGAACUGUUAAAUUCUUUGGAAUGGAUUUCGACGUUGCUGAUUCCACAUACUUUUCAUGGAUGAAAUACAAUGAUGCUGAAGUAAACAAAAGCAGAUACAGAUAAAACAACAGAUACACGAAAAACAACAUUCGAAUGC